AUGCUUGACCAACAUGGGAGAUGCGCAUACCUGCUCCGUUGGCGGUGUGCACUGAUCAUGUCCACGAUAUGGUUCCCGAGUGGAGAGCUUGCCCAUCUCACUGGUGAGAUGAUUCGUCGCUCCUGUAUCCAUAUACCACGCCGGAUCAAGAGAGUAGGACUGGGUGCGUCUGUGCUCGUGCCCCGUCACAGCAGCUGCAGCCUGCUUAUCAUUCCCUUUUCCAUUGUUACCAAGGCCAAGGAAGUCUUGCUUGUAGCGUCUAUGGCAGCGAGAGGUGAGGUGACGAUCUAUGCCACAAAGCUGACAAGCCUGAGGAGCACCGAACUAGAACAGCAAGCAACUGGGCGGCUCCCGCCAGUGAUGGUCGGCGCGUUGCCCCGCGAGGCCUGCGACGAGGAAGCCGGUGGUUUGCCACCUGAUGGGGCCGGCUUCUGA
This 435-nucleotide ribosomal RNA is filed under the name Triticum aestivum (bread wheat). Its description in RNAcentral is "partial small subunit ribosomal RNA". Lineage: Eukaryota; Viridiplantae; Streptophyta; Magnoliopsida; Poales; Poaceae. The record is from RNAcentral.